Molecule: transfer RNA, 62 nt
Filed under: Nocticola sp. JW1 9/1
Lineage: Eukaryota; Metazoa; Arthropoda; Insecta; Blattodea; Nocticolidae
Description: tRNA-His
Source: RNAcentral
UCUUAAGUAGUUUAAUUAAAAUAGUGAUUUGUGGAAUUGCAGAUAAAUAAGUUUUUUAAGAA